RNAcentral lists this long non-coding RNA (6772 nucleotides) under Homo sapiens (human). RNAcentral describes it as "HSALNT0158985". The record is from RNAcentral. Lineage: Eukaryota; Metazoa; Chordata; Mammalia; Primates; Hominidae.
AAGGUCAAAGAGGAUUUGCAAAUGCAAAGCAGGAAACGUUUCGGGGUGGGGAUUGCACUUUUUUUUUUUUUUUUUUUUUUAGAUGGAGUCUCGCUCUGUCGUCCAGGGUGGAGUGCAGUGGCGCAAUCUUGGCUCACUGCAACCUCCGCCUCCCGGGCUCAAGCCAUUCUCCUGCCUCAGUCUCCCGAGGAGCUGGGACUACAGGUGCACACCACCAAGCCUGGCUGAUUUUUGCAUUUUUAGUAGGGACAGUAUUUCACCAUGUUGGUCAGACUGGUCUUGAACUCCUGGCCUCAAGCGAUCUGCCCGCCUCGGCCUCCCUAAGUUUUCGGAUCACAGGCGUGAGCCACCACGCCCAGCCGGAUUGCAAUUUUAAAUAGCAUAAUCAGAGAGGCUUAAUGGAAGAGGUAAUAUUUGAGGAAAGACCUGAAGAAGGUAAGGGAGUAGGCACUGAAGAUAUUGGGGGAACAGUGCUCCCCGAGACAUCUGGGCAGCCAGGCACAGGGACCACAAGCAGAAAAGGGUCCUGUGAGGGUUUCGUGUUUUCUUUACAAUUUGUCAAUGUGAACACCAUGCUCACACCAAAGAACAGCAAGUUUCCUACCUGGCUUCUCUGCCUUCCUCCUUCCUUCCCUCCCUUCCUCCCUCCUUCCUUCCUUUCUUCCUUUCUUCCUUCCGUUCUCCCUUUCUUCCCAAUAUGCCCCACUUCAAUGGAUGAGUUUUCCAGCUCCCUCGGCUGCUUUCUGCAUUGCACAUGACAAGUAUCCACUAAAUAUUCAUUCAUUAGAAACAGCCAGACGAUGCUGAGCCUCUGUAGCUCUCUAGCAUCUACCAUAGCACAGAUCUCAGGAAGACCCACAAGAUACAUUUGUCAACAAGUCGAUGGCCUCCUAUGUGGCCCUGUGCUGUGUGCUGAGGCUACAGGAAGGAACAAAGCCUCCUAUCUGGGGGCCCACUUCUGCAGUUAAGUUCAUCUGGUGUCCUUUGUAAUACUGCAAAGAGAACUUCUUACGCUGUAGCUGAAUGAGAGAAAUAUCCCAUUCCAAACCUCUGAUGGAAACUGGCCAAGUCAGCGUGUGAGAGGAAGAAGGAAGUGCUGGCUCCUCAUUUUCCUUCCACCAUGAUUGGAAGCUUCCUGAGGCCUCACCAGAAGCAGAUGCUGCCAUGCUUCCUGUACAGCCUGCAGAACCGUGAGCCAAUUAAACCUCUCUUCUUAUAAACUACCCAGUCUCAGGUACUUCUUUAUAGCAGUGUGAGAACAGACUAAUACAAUGACUACUGAUCAUAGUGGAUUGGCCACUGGAGAGAAAGCUGAUGGAGCAGAGAGCACUUGGGAAGAAACCAUUAAACACUGAAAGAGGAAGAGGUGGUGGAGAUACAUUGGAGAGAACAAAUACAAUAGACUUAUCUGAGGUCAAAUCAACAGAACCCAGCAACGGAUCAGACAGAGAGAGAAAGCAGAAAGAGUGAAAUAAAACUCCACGGUUCUAGCCUGAGUGAUUAAGGGCAGAGCAAUGUUCUGGACCUUGCUGGGAGAUUCAGGAAGAAGAGGGAAAUCUGGGUUUAUUUCAAGGAGGGGUGGGAAGGAGAGAUGAGAUGAAGGAGGACCAGGAAAAUAAAAUAUUUCAAGUUAGCUAUGCUGCAUUGGAAGUGCUUACCGCAUAUCCAGGUAAGACGUCCACUGGGUAGUUAAGAUCUAUGGGUCUGGAACCCAGGAGAGAAAUUGGGGUUGGAAAUGCAGACUUGGGAGUCAAAAUCAUAAUGAUGUUCUCAGUCUUUUGGAUUUCAAAUUUUAGUAAAAUUAUCAAAAGAAAAAAAGCAAUUUGCACGAGUAACUUUUUUGUUUGUGAAUUACCACCAUCUACUUUCACAAAGAACCAGACACUGUAAUUCCCAAAAGGUAUAAAAGGCAUCAUCUUAGAAUAAAAGGUCCUCCUUCAAAGAGAGUAAAUUUAGCCUUAUGGAAAACUUCCUCCAUCAUCCCCAUUUUUCUCAUUUUGCUGCAAACCUGUAAAACUUGUAUCCCACAGACAGUUUGGAUUGCAUUUGGCCACCAUGGGUUUGAGACAUGGCGGGAACAAAAGUGUGAGUUCUUUUGUUUGUUUUUUAGAGACAGAAUCUCACUCUGUUGCCUAGACUGGAGUGCAGUGGCACAGUCAUGGCUCACUGCAGCCUCAAACCCCUGGGCUCAAGGGAUCUUUCUGCCUCUGCCUCCCAGAUAGCUGGGGCCAGAGGUGUGCACCACCACACCUGGCUAUUUUUUUUAAUUUUUGUAGAGACGAGGUCUCACUAUGUUGCCCAGGCUGGUCUUGAACUCCUGCCUCAAGCAAUCCUCCUGCCUUGGCCUCCCAAAGUGCUGGUAUUACAGGCCUGAGCCACAAAGCCUGGCCAACCGUGAGGUCUGAUGAGACACCUUGUAAGAGCAUUUAGAGCUCACAGGGAAGAUGGGGAACAUAAAAGAAAAUGGAACCAUCUAGCAGAGGAGAUGAGCGUAGAGGCAGAAGCAGUGGGGGAAAUCAAUGAAGAAUAAAAAAAUAGGAACGAGAAGGGUCCUUCCCCCUUUUCUAUCACACUCAGAUAGAAACUAGCACUCACAUCCCUGCGUGAACCGGGGAGGCGGAGGCUGCAGGGAGCAGAGAUCGCACCACCCCACUCCAGCCUGGCGACAGAGCGAGACUCUGGUAGAGACGGGAUUUUGAUCAGGGUGGCAAAGAUGAAGCCACAAACUAAGAAGAGUCAGGGCCAGGCGCAGUGGCUCACGCCUGUAAUCCCAACACUUUGGGAGGUCGAGACAGGAGGAUCACUUGAGGCCAGGAGUUUGACACCAGCCUGGCCAACAUGGUGAAACCCUGUUUCUACUAAAAAUACAAAAAUUAACCAGGUGUGGUGGCGCGUGCCUGUAAUCCCAGCUACUCAAGAGGCUGAGACAGGAGAAUUGCUUGAACCCAGGAAGCGGGAUUGCAGGGAGCUGAGAUUGCGCCACUGCACUCCAGCCUGGGCGACAGAGUGAGACUCUGUCUCAAAAAAAAAAAAAAAAAAUUAGGGUCGGGAAACCGCAGCCCAUGAGCCAGGUCCAUCCUGCCUGCUGCCCGGUUUUGUGCAACACAUGGGCUUAGAAUGUUUUUACAUUUUGAAAUGGUUAAAAAAAAAGCAAAAGAAGAACACUACUUCAUGACAUGUGAAAAUUAUUUGAAAUUCAAAUUUCAACAUCCAGAAAUAGUUUCACUGGAGCGCAGUCACCCUCAGCUGUUCACAUAUUGUCUGUGGCUGCUUUCAGGCUGCAGGACGGAGUUGAGUCAGCGUGAAAGAGAUUGUGUGGUCCACAGAGUCUAAAAUAUUUCCUGGCUGGGCGCCAUGGCUCACACCUGUAACCUAAGCACUUUGGGAGACUGAGGAGGGAGGAUCGUUUGAGCCCAGGAGUUCAAGACCAGCCUAGGCAACACAGCAAGAUUUCAUCUCUACAAAAAAAAAAUUUUUUUUUUUUUGAGACGAAGUCUUGCCCUGUCGCCAGGACAGAGUGCAAUGGCGCGAUCUCAGCUCACUGCAACCUCUGCCUCCCGGGUUCAAGCGAUUCUCCUGCCUCAGCCUCUUGAGUAGCUGGGACUACAGGCAUAUGCCCCCACACCCAGCUAAUUUUUGUAUAUUUAGUUGAGGUGGGGUUUUACCAUGGUGGCCAGGAUGGUCUCGAUCUCUUGACCUUGUGACCUUGUGAUCCGCCCGCCUGGGCCUCCCAAAUUGCUGAGAUUACAGGCGUGAGCCACCAUGCUUGGCCAUUCUUUUUUUUUUUUUUUUUUUUGAGACAGAGUCUUGCUCUGUCACCCAGGCUGGAGUGCAGUGGUGCGAUCUCAGCUCACUGCAGCCUCCACCUCCUGGGUUCAAGUGAUUCUCCUGCCUCAGCCUCCCAAGUAGCAGGGACUACAGGUGCACGCCAUCAUGCCCAGCUAAUUCUUGUAUUUUUUAAUAGAGAUGGGGUUUUGCCAUGUUGGCCAGGCUGGACCAAAAAAAAUUUUUUUAAUUAGCUGGGCAUGGUGGUGCAUUCCUGUAAUCCCACCUACACAGAGGACUGACGUGAGAGGAUGGCUCACGCCCAAAGGUUGAGGCUGCAGUGAGCUACGAUUGUGCCACUGCACUCCAGCCUGGGUGACAGAGUGAGACCCUGUCUCAAAAUAAAAUAAAAUAAAAUAUUUUCUAUCUGGCUCCUUUCAGAAAAAGUUUGCCUACCCUUGCACCGGAAGCAGGAGGGAAAGAGAUGGGCUUGUUGGAAACCAGGAAAGGAGAAAUUGACAGAGCUGCAGGGAGCAAUCCCUUUCCACCUUCACCCAGGACUGAGAUCAUGUCAUACAAAAGCCCUGUGUUGUUCAGAGGACCAGAGGGGCUGGAGUGGAGUGAAGUGGUGUGAUCUCGGCUUACUGCAACCUCUGCCUCCCAGGUUCAAGCGAUUCUCCUGCCUCAGCCUCCUGAGUAGCUGGGAUCACAGACGCCUGCCAUCAUGCCUGGCUAAUUUUUGUAUUUUUAGUAGAGAUGGGGUUUCGCCAUGUUGGUCAGGCUGGUCUCGAACUCCUGACCUCAAGUGAUCCACCUGCCUCGGCCUCCCAAAGUGCUGGAAUUACAGGCAUGAACCACUGCACCUGGCCUCUAUUACCUUUAAAAGUGCUCCUUGAAGAGAAAAUCCACUCUGCCGUUUCAAGCUUGACUUCCCUCCCCAGUCUUAGAGACUGAUCACUGGGGCAGAGUGACAUUUUCCCACAAUGCUGGCUCAUUAUUUUCCUCCUGGAAUUGCAAAUCCAAGGGACAAGUGGUACAGCCUGCACCCAUCCAGAAGGGGAGGGAAUCCCACCAGAGGUGCCCUGAAACAAAGAAAACAAGUAACUUCAAAACCACAUCCUAAAAUCUGGACCUGUGACAGGACAGAUGGAACUCUGGAUUGUUUGAUUCUAUCAGCAGAACAGAGGAAGGAAAUGUUUUAAAACGAGAUUAUGUUAUUUUCCCCAGUUAUUAUGAAGCCUUCCUGAAAUGAACUUUAAAUAUCGGCCACCACUUUCAUGAGGCUGAAUGGGAUUCAGCAAUUAGGAGCGUUGCAGGGAAGUGUGGCAGGGCAGAGGUGGGACAAAUUGCAGAUCCCUGUGGGGUCCCUUGGUUAGGUGACAAUUAGUCUAUAAAACACAGCUGUGUGUGUUAGGGAGGGAGUGGUGUCUUUAAAAAGCUCUGUGCCCAAUAGGAACAUUAAUUAAAGGGUCUUUUUUCAAAGGACAUUAAUAAUAAUGAAUAAAAAGCCUUCUGCGACUUUUGCCCUCAAUGAGAAAAUGACUGACAACUACGUAUCGUAUAGAGAAGAAAAAAUAUCCUAGAAGUUAUGAAAAUUUCCCCAAAAUGAAAUCAUACAAUAAUCCUUUAUAAUGCUGGGCUUCCUAGACAGAAUUUUCCAAAGGAAGCUGUCUAUAUCAUCCAGCCCCAAGCCCUGCUGAAUAAUACACGAUAGCUGUGUCAUUAGUGUCCUCUAGCCAAAUAACUGUCCAGGCAGGAUGACAUGGAUGUGGUCGCUUGUCCCCUCUGCGUGGAUGUCCUCCCACACAUGCCUCUCAAUGCCAGGGUUCCUCAAGACCCUCUGAGAGUCAGCUCCUGUAUCCAACUGCUUACCUGAUAUUGCCUCCAAGAAGCCUUAAAACACCUGAAAUGUAAAGGUCUUCCCCAGGAUCCUCCCGGUCUUCACAUCCCUAUAAAUGGCGUCAACACCCAUCCACUCAUGAAGCCAGAACUUAGGAUUCAUCCCCAAUUCUUCCCUCUCCCCCGACAUCCAAUUCAUCAGCAGAUUCCGGGGCUUCGCUCUCCCAGUGAUCUCUCCCAUCUGAGGCUUUCCCUCCAGUGGUUUAUUGCUUCUAUCGUGGUCUAGGUAAGCAUCAUCUAGACUUGCCCUGGACUAGUGCAAAAGUCUCCUGAGUCUUCUCUCUUCAUCUAUUCUCGGGGGCCACAGCCAGACCAUUCUCUACAGAGUUAAAAAGAGCGACUUCUGAAGGAGUGAACAGACCCGCAUCAUUGCCCUGCUUAAGAUCCUUCAGCGACUUCCCAUAGCAUUUAGAACACAAUGCAAACUUUUCUGUAGCCUUGCAACCCCUGCUUGAAUUGGUCUGGCUAUUUCUCUAGCUUCUUCUCAACCCCUCUUUCCUCACCUGGUAUUCCAGCAGCUUCAGGGUUUCACAGUCUUCAGACACUCUUGUGCCUUCCCACUUCUAAGCCUCUUGUGUUUUCGGUUCCCUGUGCCAGGAAAGUUCACCCACUGCUCCCCAACUUCAGAGACCACCAUUUUGGAUACAUAGCAUUGGCCUGACAUUCUUUUUCUUUUAACUGUCAGACAUUAGGGCUGACCUAACUGUCACUACUGGAGUUCAAUAUGGCCCCCAAAAGAGCACCCUGCCGCUGUAAGUUCUGAGCCCAUUGAGAAAUGAGACAAAGAAUCUAGGCAGAUGGAGACCAAAUGCAUCAGCUCUAUUUCUUAUAAAAUUGAUAUUGGAGAAUGUGGCAUAUAAUACCUGCAAACAAGUGGUUUCCUAAUACCAACCCCAGAUUGGAUUUACCCACCCAGUCGGAGGCCAUGCAGGGUCUGGGCAGACCCCCGAUGUAGGGGGGUCUCAGGGCCUUAGUGCAGCCCUCCUGGCACCCCCAGCUUCCUUGUAUGAUUGUGCAUGUUUGUCCCAUCAGUCCGUGAACUUCCCAAAGCAGACACCAGGCAGAAUAAAGAAUACCGGGGAAGGCUGGGCAUGGUGGCUCAUGCCUA